RNAcentral lists this ribosomal RNA (465 nucleotides) under uncultured bacterium. RNAcentral's name for it is "partial 16S ribosomal RNA". It matches the Rfam family "Bacterial small subunit ribosomal RNA", at positions 28 to 507 of the family's 1533-position model. The record is from RNAcentral.
GACAAACGCUGGCGGCGUGCUUAACACAUGCAAGUCGAACGGAAAGGCCCUGCUUGCAGGGUACUCGAGUGGCGAACGGGUGAGUAACACGUGGGUGAUCUGCCCUGCACUUCUGGAUAAGCCUGGGGAAAUGGGUCUAAUACCGGAUAGGGGCCAUUUGUAGUGUGAUGGUUGGAAAGUUUUUUCGGUGUAGGAUGAGCUCGCGGCCUAUCAGCUUGUUGGUGGGGUAAUGGCCUACCAAGGCGGCGACGGGUAGCCGGCCUGGGAGGGUGGACGGCCACCAUGGGACUGGGAUACGGGCCAGGCCCCCACGGGGGGCCGGAGGGGGGAAUAUUGGACAAUGGGGCCAAGCCCGAUGCAGCGAAGCCGGGGGGCGGGUGACGGCCCUUGGGUUGGAAACCCCUUUCGGUAGGGAACAAGCUGUUUGUGACGGUAACUAGUAAAGAAGCACCGGCUAACUACGUG